ACAACAAAAUAAAACAAAAUAUAAAUAAAUUUGUUGUAUUUAGUUAAAUUUGGCGCGUUUUUUUCCACAUUUAGUUUAAUAAAAGUUAAAUUAAAAUUCCAAAAAAAAAAAAAAAUUAUAUGUGUAAAGUGUAAACUUUCAAUUAAACUGGAAAAUCUUGUCCACCUCGACGUAUGAGUGUUAAGGAAUUAAUGAUUCCAUCGUCUUAUAAAUUCGGCUGAUCAAAAUAUUCAUCCCAAGAUAUUAAACUUAAUAACAACAACAAUUACUUACAUAUGUGAGCUGUUUUGGUACUUUUUGAAAUUUUUUAAAAAAGUACCUUUCUAGCACUUAAAUUGUACAUUCCAACACAGGUGUAUGAAUAGACACUACAACAGGUGGUUAAAUAAAAAUUAAAUGGACAAAAGAUGGAUAAAAAUUAAAAAUUAAAUUUGUUUUUAUUUUCUUGUUGUUAUUUUUAUUGAUUGCGGUGUGCGUGUGCGAAUGAGUGUAAUCGGUGUGUUGUGUGCUUGAGUAGCUGAGAGUUAGUUGAGCUGUAUAUUAAAAAGAAAAUAAUAGUACAAGAAGUAAACAAAACAAAAACAAAAACAAACACAACAAAAUUGUUAAAAGUAAAAGAAAGACAAAAAGAAAGAAAGGUGGCAGCAGGCAGGAAGGCACAAAGGCAUGUGAUGCAGUCGAGACAGAAGCAGGUCUAGGCAUGUUCAAUGAUUUGUAAGAUUGUGUCUGUAUGUGUGUGUGUAAAGUGUAAACAAAAACAAAACUACGUCACUUGCGAGAUCUAGGGAAUACGAACCGAUUGUUACGAACAUGAACUAAACGAACAAAGAUGAAACAGCAGCAAAACCAACAACAACUAGGUACAACAGCAACACAAUUCUGCUACCGAGAGAAGUUUGGGCAAAAAACCAAAUGAAUUUUAAACUCUAGUUUACAAAAAAAAACAGUAUUUAAUCUAACAAGAGAUUUCAAAAUAACAACAACAGAGAACUCAUGGAGCGGAUAAAAAUCCAAAUUAUUACACUCUGAGAAAUUUUCCAUAUUAAAAAUCAAUAAAGAGAAAAAAUUUAUUAAUAUUUAACAUUUAACAACAAGAAAAACAAAUAACUCUUAAACAAAUAUUUAAGAGUUUCAGACAAGCUUGAUAAAUUUAUUAAAGCUGCUGGAUUUUGGAAGCCAAAGAAGAAAGUGUUAAUUGUUUAAAUAAAAAUUAAAAAAAAUAUCGCACCAACGCGUUUUAA
Lucilia cuprina (Australian sheep blowfly) is the source of this 1241-nucleotide long non-coding RNA. RefSeq lists it as uncharacterized. NCBI's taxonomy places the organism in Eukaryota, Metazoa, Arthropoda, Insecta, Diptera, Calliphoridae. The record is from RefSeq and is a predicted model, not a curated record. The transcript is spliced from 3 exons.